CCGAGUUUACAACUCCCAAACCCCUGUGAACAUACCAAUCGUUGCCUCGGCGGAUCAGCCCCGCUCCCGGUAACCGGACCAGGCCCGCAUGAGGACCCCCUAAACUCCUGAUUCCUACGUGUAAUCUUCUGAGUAACACAUCAAAUAAAUCA
Molecule: unclassified non-coding RNA, 152 nt
Filed under: soil metagenome
Description: partial internal transcribed spacer 1
Source: RNAcentral